ACACAGCAAGAGAAACACACGUUUUUGGAACACACAUACACAAAAAAUGGCAGGGUUGUUGGAAACGUUGGGUUGUUUUUUCAACCCAACUGCUGUGUUGAGCCAGUUGAGUUAUUUUGUUGGGUUAUUUUAUCAGUGUUGGAUAGUUUUCGUGUAACCCAACUCGUUGGGUUAAAUGUUGGGUCAUUUUGAAACAGAAACUUAAUAGAUACAUAUAGCCGUUUCUCAAUAUUACUUUCUCUGGUUCACAAAAUUUAUUUCUAAAGGGGUCAUAGCGUGAAAAUUAGACUUUUUUCAUGUUUUUUUUUCAAGUGCUAUAAUUGGGUCCCCAGUGCUUCUAUCAACCUAGAAAAUAGGUUAUAAAGAUCAACCCAGUAACUUAAUUUGAGUAAGCCAUUUUCUGCAAGCAUGUGAAAAAUUAGGUUGUUCAGAUUUCGCCUGUUUUGUGAGGUAGGUAGCAAAGCGAAUUAUAAUAAUACACAGAGUAACAGCACAGAACCCCCCAUAAACUGCGUACGCUCUCAUCUUGAAUGCGGACGCGACUAAGAUGGUGACGUUAGCGGAAGCUAGUUAUUUUCGUUUAUAAAGUUUUAAAUAUGGAUAUUUCUACAACAACACAGCGCGUAUUACCCUCAGAAGGCAUUUGUUUAUCAUCGUGGAGCCGUUUGGAUUUCGUUUGUGAAGGAUGCACAUUUUUUGGACUUUUUGAUUCUGGACAUUUGAUUAACUGAAAGAUCUAAAACAUUUUCUAAAAUAACUGAAAAUGUGUUUGUCUGAAAAAUGAUGGACAUAUGCAUCUUGGUUGGCUUGGGGGUGAGUAAAUCAUGGGUUUAUUAUCAUUUUUGUCCAAACUAUACAUUUAACUGUAUAAAAUUGUCAAGUGCAUCUUAUCGGUAAAGUGUGAUUAAUAGUAAAUUGCUUUCAGAUGAAGCACCAUUUACUACAUGCGGCUAUAGUACACUGACAAGCUAGGCCAUAUAGCGUUAAUUAUCACAUGAAUUAACAUUGAAGUUUUAUUAAAAAUGAUUGCAUGAUUUGUCAUUUUCAGAUUUCACAAGACUUCUCUGUGUUAUUCCCUGACCAUGCCGAAAAGCUAUUUGAAACUUGGGCAUUGGAUUUUACAGACAGAAUCCUGCAACUUCCCAGCCAUGAACCAGGAACAUCAACAAAUCACUUCCAGAACCCCAUGAUGAUAUUCCAACUCCUGUCUACAAAAGUGGGAAGAAAAUCUUAAGUCUACAUGUUGGGACCAACAUGGUUGCAUUCUUGUGAGAGGCUGAGGAGACAAACCGUUCCCUUUUGUCUUUUUGUCUUGGGCGAUCUGUGCCAUUAAGUCUUUGUUGUUUUUGACAGACAGUCACUCCAGCAAUACACCCUCCUUGGUGCUGUUGACAUGUUUUUAACUUUUUUAAUGUUUUGGAAAUACAUUUUCCCAAGCAGUGCGCACCAGUGUGGGUGUUUUUGCAUACUGUUAUUUACAAACUUCCAAGAACGUAAUCCCCUUCAUUACACAUUAUACUAUUCAGACAUUUAGGGCAAAUAAUUUACCCAUUUAUUUGUUAUAUGAUAUAAAAACACAGCAUACAAAACAGUCACAACCUUUUUCAAAAAAAUACUUAAAAUAUUCAGCCAAACGAUCGAUUUAUAUGAAGUAAAGAUGCUAUAGUGAUCACAAUCCGCUGUAAAUAUCAGAUCCGGUGUACACUCGUAUUGUGAAAUACUAAUAGCAUUGGUCUCAUGUGUCUUGUGACCGGUUGCAUCAUUACGGUAGCUAUAGAAUGUGAUGUGCUAUCUGCAUUUUCUGGAUCAUAUUUGGUUCGUAUUGAUAAAGUGGUAAAGACGAUAUUAACUGUCAGUAUUGCAUUGUGAGCGAAUCUUUCAAACAUGGUACGGAGAGCCACAUUUCCGGCUGACGUCAGAGGUAUUCAGGCCAAUCACAACGUACAGAUUAGCUGGCCAAUCAGAGAGACAACGUUUUUCAGCUCAUUGUCUAUCUCACUAUCUUGACGUUGUAAUAAGGUGCUGGCAAAAACGAAUGAUUGGGUUGUUAUUUUUGGAGAACAGUCUCGACAGAACACUAUUAGGUUAACAAUGUUAUGAAUUAUAACCCAUGGUUGGGUAACAACAACCCACCAUUGGGUAAUUUUUAACCCACUGGUGUGUUUUGUCCAAUAUUUACUCAAUAUGGGUUAAAAACAACCCAGCCAUUUUUAGAACACAAUAUACAGUAGUGCAGGACACAGUAGGCUACAUAUUAUAAAGAAAAUGAGACCUGAGCCAUAAAGGAAAUGACCAAUAUCUUGGUCCCAAACCUUUUCUAGGCUUAUGAAUCAUUUUACAGUAGAUACAUCUGGAUAAUGGCUAAGGUCUGUGUGUUUUGCAAUUAAUGU
This is a long non-coding RNA of Misgurnus anguillicaudatus (oriental weatherfish), 2390 nucleotides long. RefSeq lists it as uncharacterized. NCBI's taxonomy places the organism in Eukaryota, Metazoa, Chordata, Actinopteri, Cypriniformes, Cobitidae. The record is from RefSeq and is a predicted model, not a curated record.